UUUUUUCUUUCUUCUUCUG
RNAcentral lists this small RNA (19 nucleotides) under Arabidopsis thaliana (thale cress). RNAcentral's name for it is "ATSL176730". The record is from RNAcentral. Lineage: Eukaryota; Viridiplantae; Streptophyta; Magnoliopsida; Brassicales; Brassicaceae.